RNAcentral lists this ribosomal RNA (522 nucleotides) under uncultured bacterium. RNAcentral describes it as "bacterial SSU rRNA". It matches the Rfam family "Bacterial small subunit ribosomal RNA", at positions 608 to 1134 of the family's 1533-position model. The record is from RNAcentral.
CUUAACCUGGGAAUUGCAUUCGAUACUGCCAAGCUAGAAUGUGGAAGAGGGAAGUGGAAUUUCCGGUGUAGCGGUGAAAUGCGUAGAUAUCGGAAGGAACACCAGUGGCGAAGGCGGCUUCCUGGUCCAACAUUGACGCUGAGGUGCGAAAGCGUGGGGAGCGAACAGGAUUAGAUACCCUGGUAGUCCACGCCGUAAACGAUGAGAACUAGAUGUCGGGGGAUUUAGCCCUUCGGUGUCGCAGCUAACGCGUUAAGUUCUCCGCCUGGGGAGUACGGUGGCAACACUAAAACUCAAAGGAAUUGACGGGGACCCGCACAAGCGGUGGAGCAUGUGGUUUAAUUCGAUGCAACGCGAAGAACCUUACCUGCCCUUGACAUUGACAGAACCCUUUAGAGAUAGAGGGGUGCUUCGGCCUGGAAAACAGGUGCUGCAUGGCUGUCGUCAGCUCGUGUCGUGAGAUGUUGGGUUAAGUCCCGCAACGAGCGCAACCCUUGUCUUUAGUUGCCAUCAUUAAGUUGG